UGGGGAAUAUUGCACAAUGGGCGCAAGCCUGAUGCAGCCAUGCCGCGUGUGUGAAGAAGGCCUUCGGGUUGUAAGCACUUUCAGCGAGGAGGAAGGGUUCAGUGUUAAUAGCACUGUUCAUUGACGUUACUCGCAGAAGAAGCACCGGCUAACUCCGUGCCAGCAGCCGCGGUAAUACGGAGGGUGCAAGCGUUAAUCGGAAUUACUGGGCGUAAAGCGCACGCAGGCGGUUUGUUAAGUCAGAUGUGAAAUCCCCGCGCUUAACGU
Molecule: ribosomal RNA, 267 nt
Filed under: uncultured bacterium
Lineage: Bacteria
Description: partial 16S ribosomal RNA
Rfam family: Bacterial small subunit ribosomal RNA
Source: RNAcentral